RNAcentral lists this ribosomal RNA (492 nucleotides) under uncultured bacterium. RNAcentral describes it as "partial 16S ribosomal RNA". It matches the Rfam family "Bacterial small subunit ribosomal RNA", at positions 29 to 507 of the family's 1533-position model. The record is from RNAcentral.
AGUGAACGCUGUCGGUAGGCCUAACACAUGUAAGUCUAACGUCAUCACUGUAAGAGCUUGCUCUUCCGGGAGGCUAGUGGCGGACGGUUGAGGAAUACCUCGGUCUCUACUUUUUCUUGGGGUAUACCGUAGGGCAACUUACGUUAAUACCUCAUACUACCUACGGGUGAAAGCAGGGGAUCUUCGGACCUUGCGCGAUUGAAUGAGCCGAUGUCAGAUUAGCUAGUUUGCGGGGUAAAGGCCCACCAAGGCGACGAUCCGUAGCUGGUCUGAGAGGAUGAUCAGGCACACUGGAACUGAGACAAGGUCCAGACUCCUACGGGAGGCAGCAGUGGGGAAUAUUGGACAAUGGGCGCAAGCCUGAUCCAGCCAUACCGCAUGGGGGAAGAAGGCCUUCGGGUUGUAAAGCACUUUUGUUGGGAAAGAAAAGCAGCAGGUUAAUACCCCGCUGUUCUGACGGUACCCAAAGAAUAAGCACCGGAUAACUUCGUG